UACGGGGGGAGCAAGCGUUGUUCGGAUUUACUGGGCGUAAAGGGCGCGUAGGCGGCGCAACAAGUCACUUGUGAAAUCUCCGGGCUUAACCCGGAGCGGCCAAGUGAUACUGUCGUGCUAGAGUGCGGAAGGGGCUACUGGAAUUCUCGGUGUAGCGGUGAAAUGCGUAGAUAUUGGGAAGAACACCGGAGGCGAAGGCGGGUUGCUGGGCCGACACUGACGCUGAGGCGCGAAAGCCAGGGGAGCAAACGGG
This 253-nucleotide ribosomal RNA is filed under the name uncultured bacterium. RNAcentral describes it as "partial 16S ribosomal RNA". It matches the Rfam family "Bacterial small subunit ribosomal RNA", at positions 524 to 776 of the family's 1533-position model. The record is from RNAcentral.